GAACCUGCGGAGGGAUCAUUGCUGGAACGCGCUUCGGCGCACCCAGAAACCCUUUGUGAACUUAUACCUAUUGUUGCCUCGGCGAAGGCCGGCCUCUCUUCUGAGGCCCCCCGGAAACGGGGAGCAGCCCGCCGGCGGCCAACCAAACUCUUGUUUCUUAGUGAAUCUCUGAGUAAAAAACAUAAAUGAAUCAAAACUUUCAACAACGGAUCUCUUGGUUCUGGCAUCGAUGAAGAACGCAGCGAAAUGCGAUAAGUAAUGUGAAUUGCAGAAUUCAGUGAAUCAUCGAAUCUUUGAACGCACAUUGCGCCCUCUGGUAUUCCGGAGGGCAUGCCUGUUCGAGCGUCAUUUCAACCCUCAAGCCUGGCUUGGUGUUGGGGCACUGCCUGUAAAAGGGCAGGCCCUGAAAUCUAGUGGCGAGCUCGCUAGGACCCCGAGCGUAGUAGUUAUAUCUCGUUCUGGAAGGCCCUGGCGGUGCCCUGCCGUUAAACCCCCAACUUCUGAAAUUUUGACCUCGGAUCAGGUAGGAAUACCCGCUGAACUUAAGCAUAUCAAUAA
RNAcentral lists this ribosomal RNA (558 nucleotides) under fungal sp. E14822B. RNAcentral describes it as "eukaryotic LSU rRNA". The stretch from base 195 to 348 matches the Rfam family "5.8S ribosomal RNA". Lineage: Eukaryota; Fungi. The record is from RNAcentral.